RNAcentral lists this unclassified non-coding RNA (453 nucleotides) under Hevea brasiliensis (rubber tree). Lineage: Eukaryota; Viridiplantae; Streptophyta; Magnoliopsida; Malpighiales; Euphorbiaceae. The record is from RNAcentral.
GGGAGUCAGGAGGACCGGGCGCGGCACGUCGGGGUUCAGGGUGAUGGCCGUGAGCACGGAGACCACCGGGGUGGUGACGCGGAUGGAGCAGCUGCUCAACAUGGACACCACCCCCUUCACCGACAAGAUCAUCGCCGAGUACAUCUGGGUUGGAGGAACUGGAAUUGACCUCAGAAGCAAAUCAAGGACAAUAUCAAAACCAGUGGAGGACCCCUCGGAGCUACCAAAAUGGAACUACGAUGGAUCAAGCACAGGGCAAGCUCCAGGAGAAGAUAGUGAAGUCAUCUUAUACCCACAGGCUAUAUUCAAGGACCCAUUUCGAGGUGGCAACAACAUAUUGGUUAUGUGUGAUACCUACACACCAGCUGGGGAACCCAUCCCUACUAACAAACGUAACAGGGCUGCACAAGUAUUCAGUGAUCCAAAGGUUGUCAGCCAAGUGCCAUGGUUUGG